Molecule: non-coding RNA, 25 nt
Filed under: Rattus norvegicus (Norway rat)
Lineage: Eukaryota; Metazoa; Chordata; Mammalia; Rodentia; Muridae
Source: RNAcentral
GCCUGCCGUGUACACAUUGAGUCAU